Molecule: microRNA, 23 nt
Filed under: Homo sapiens (human)
Lineage: Eukaryota; Metazoa; Chordata; Mammalia; Primates; Hominidae
Description: hsa-miR-6732-3p
Source: miRBase by way of RNAcentral
UAACCCUGUCCUCUCCCUCCCAG